AACAAAUAAGGGAACACGAAAUCACACCCCAAAACAGUCCACAAAUCACAACAAAUCGUGGACCAAAUGGGACCUCUCUCGGAUUCACUAUCUAGAAAAAGAAAGAAGAGGAUACAAGGUGUUAAUACACCAAAACAACCAGCCUACAACAAGUUUAGCAACACAAGAUAAAGCUCCACAAUAUUACAAUAGCAACAAGAACAAAUGGCUUACAUUAACAACACAAGAAGCCAAAACUAAAACAAGAUACAAGAUAGGUAGUUAGACAAGUGUUGAUGUAGUCUUAACAACCCAAGAGCAUAUUCCACUCUUGGACCUUUAAAACUUCACACAAAAAACACCUAGCUCUUACAAUUGACACAAGAGAGGCAUCCACCACCCAAGCACCAACGUAUCAAGCAAAAUGCAGCACACAAGAGAAUCCACCCUUAUGUUAUGCCUUAGUUUCAAUUGGACUCUCUCUCACUCUAAGAGAAUUAUUCUUCAAUAAUAAUGAUCAACUAAAGAAAUAAACCCUACAAUGUUCUAUUUAUACUACAUUACAAUAAUAGACAAAAUGACAAAAGGGCCCUUUAGUGACUAAUCUUCAAAAAUACUCAAAAGUGUCACGAUCAUGAUCAUACUUGUAUCAUCCUUUCCAUCUUAAGAGGAAUUUUCCCACAAAUUCAUAACCUCACCUCUUUUACAAAGGCACUUCACAAUCUCCUUCACACGGCCACACAUCUUCUAUAUCUUCCUCGCCUUGCAUUUUAACCUCUUUUUUCUCUCUAUCUUAAGGCUUGCCAUCAACCUUAGCCGAUUCAAUUACUACUUCUUCCCCAAGACAGUACAAUAUUCCCUCCCUUAGGAUCACGUUCCUCCAGUUUGGGCACUCACUAGCCUUGUGCCUCCACCCUUGGAAUUUGAAACAUUGAAAUCCCUUGGGAUUAGAAGUAGAAUUCAAUUUACCUUCAUACCUUAGAGGAUGUUUUUGGACAACCUUGGUGGCCUCGGGUUGGGUAGCCAUGAAUGAGUUAUCUUUGAGCUCCCUCUCAACCUCUAAAACCGCAUGGAAGAUGCCAUCUAUGGUGUUGAAUUUUUGAAGCGUCAUGCGAGUAGAGAUGUCCUUUUUUAACCCAACCUUGAAGCAUACAAUGUCAUGACUUACUUGCUCGUCUCAGUGGUUAAGUUUCAACAUCAAUUGUUGAAAUUCAUCGUAGUAAGCCAUGACACUCUUGUUCCCUUGCCUCAAAUUGUACAAUUUAGCAAGGAGCUCAUGCCUAGAUGUCUCGGGCAAGUACCUUUGUCGUAUAAGUUUCUUCAAUCAAAACCAAGGAGGAGGUUGUCCCCCAAUCAUCUCAUUCCCAAACCGUUUAACAUGCUCCCACCAUGUAUUAGCAUACCCUUCGAAGUGAGCUAUAGCAUAAAAACUUUUUUUUCUUCAGUGAGAUCAUUAAGUUGGAAGAUCUUGUCACAAGAUGACUCCCAUGCAAGGUAGGCUUCGGGAUCACUCUUACCUUUGAAAAUGAAAAGGCUCACUUUGAUGGAAUUGAGACCUAUAUCUUGGUUUGGGAGGCCAUCUCUCACCUCAUGUCCUAACUCCCCAUGUCUAUACCUCAUUCUUUUUUCCCUCAAGUAAACAUCAUCAUACGGAUCGUAACCAUCAUGUUGUCCUCCCCUACCAUAUCCCUCAACAUGGAUGAGUCUAUUUGGGUUAAGUGGAGCUUGUAGUGGCGGGAUUGGAUUUGGAUAGUUAGGUCCUUGGUCAAGUGAAGUUUGGAUGGGAGGGUUCGGGUUUGGUGAUGGUAUUUGGGUUCCAAGCCCUUCUGGUUGGACUUGGUGGAGUGGAGGAUGGCUUGGUCUAUCUUGUUCUCGGCUUCGGGAGUAAAGAUUGGUUUGAUUUAUGGCAAUUGGUGUAUAGUCCAUUUCGUGCAAGGUCUUAGGAGUAUUAGUUGGGGAAAUGUUUUAAGGGUUAGAAGGUCGACUCCUUUGGCUUUCCACACGUUCUAAUCUCCCACUCAUUGAUGCCACAUCCGUAUCUAAUUUCUCAAGACCCAUAUUCAACCUAGCCACAUCUCGGGACAUAGAUUCAAGGCGAGCCAAAAUGAGAUUGAUGGCAUUAUUAUCCAUUGUUUGAGCAUUUGAAGCCUGGGGUUCCAUUAUGGUGGUAUCAAAAAUAACCCUUCAAGUUAUGGUCCAAUUAAGAUACGAAAUCAGUCCGCAACGUCACACACAAAAAGAGAAUGCAAAUCCUACAACACAAAACACACGUUAUUUCAAAACAACCUCCCACAAUGAGAUCCCACCUUCAAGUUUCUUCAAACUCAAGCUCAACAUUGGUGGAUGACUCAAAUAACCUCGAAUUUAGCUCAAAUUCAAACCCUAUGCUCCUAUAGUGUUAGAGAACACAAAUCUAACACUAAAAACACAAGAAAAAUACAAAAUCAAAAACUCAAAAUUUGACCUAGGGUCAAAAACGGGUUUAGUAUAUUUUGGGAAGAUUUUCGAUUUUGACAUUUCUUUUUUUUGUUGGGAUAUUUAAUUUCUGUACUCUAAUAUUCUUAGUGAACAAGAUCUAACACCAGAAACACACAAAAAAUCAAGUUUUUUGAAAGAUCUUAAAAACGUGAACAAUAACUUUUUUUUUUCAAGAUAACAAGCCCAAGAUUGAUUUUGUUGGAACAAAAUCAAACCUUUCUUUGAUACCAAAUGAUAUGGAAUAAACAAGGGAACAUGAAAUCACAGCCCAAAACAGUCCAAAAAUCACAACAAAUCGUGGACCAAAUGGGACCUCUCUCGGAUUCACUAUCUAGAACAAGAAAGAAGAGGAUACAAGGUGUUAAUACACCAAAAUAGCCAGCCAACAACAAGUUUAGCAACACAAGAUGAAGCUCCACAAUAUUAUACAAUAGCAACAAGAACAAACGGGUUACAUUAACAACACAAGAAGCCGAAACUAAAACAAGAUACAAGAUAGGUAGUUAGACAAGUGUUGAUGUAGUCUUAACAACCUAAGAGCAUAUU
Molecule: long non-coding RNA, 3003 nt
Filed under: Capsicum annuum
Lineage: Eukaryota; Viridiplantae; Streptophyta; Magnoliopsida; Solanales; Solanaceae
Description: long non-coding RNA (CANN_LNC019655)
Source: RNAcentral